AAGUCGUAACAAGGUUUCCAGUAGGUGGAACCUGGGCGGAAGGAAUACAUUGACGAAGUGAGGGCUACCGAACCGCAGUGGAAACAGCGGGUUUAGGGAGCUUACACCCACCCGUGUUUACAUACUAUUGUUGCUUUGGCGGGCCGUGGCCUCCACUGCGGGCUCUGCUCGUGUGUGCCCGCCAGAGGACCAAACUCUGAAUGUUAGUGAUGUCUGAGUACUAUCUAAUAGUUAAAA
Molecule: unclassified non-coding RNA, 237 nt
Filed under: plant metagenome
Description: partial contains small subunit ribosomal RNA and internal transcribed spacer 1
Source: RNAcentral